RNAcentral lists this long non-coding RNA (400 nucleotides) under Capsicum annuum. Its description in RNAcentral is "long non-coding RNA (CANN_LNC007235)". Lineage: Eukaryota; Viridiplantae; Streptophyta; Magnoliopsida; Solanales; Solanaceae. The record is from RNAcentral.
AUGGAUAUUUAAAGUGACUAAGUCUCCUUGGCACUACACUAACUUUUGGGAUCCGCACUUGACCAAUUUUUUACUUUAUUUCCACCCUUAUUUCUCCCCUUUUUAUUUUAAAGCAUAUUCAGGUUGGGUGUAGUCUUUUAGUCUUUCUUUUUCUCUUCUUUACAAAUUUUCUUUUCUUUUUUACCACACCCAGCCUUACUUUAUUUUAUUUUAUUUUUACCCUUCUUUAUACUUAUUUUACAUCACACACCCCUAUGAUAGCCACCCUCAACUUAGGCGAUUUGCCUGAGUUGAAGUGCAUAAUGUCCAGGGAGGACCAGAGCCAAAACAGGUUCAUUGUAAUAUAAAUGGAAAUGUGAUAAGUAUAACAAGAAAAAUAGGAUGUAAGACUUAAAGAUCG